Molecule: ribosomal RNA, 1576 nt
Filed under: Enterococcus faecalis
Lineage: Bacteria; Bacillati; Bacillota; Bacilli; Lactobacillales; Enterococcaceae
Also listed under: 3 other names
Description: 16S ribosomal RNA
Rfam family: Bacterial small subunit ribosomal RNA
Source: RNAcentral
UUAUAUGAGAGUUUGAUCCUGGCUCAGGAUGAACGCCGGCGGUGUGCCUAAUACAUGCAAGUCGAACGCGUUGGCCCAAUUGAUUGAUGGUGCUUGCACCUGAUUGAUUUUGGUCGCCAACGAGUGGCGGACGGGUGAGUAACACGUAGGUAACCUGCCCAGAAGCGGGGGACAACAUUUGGAAACAGAUGCUAAUACCGCAUAACAGCGUUGUUCGCAUGAACAACGCUUAAAAGAUGGCUUCUCGCUAUCACUUCUGGAUGGACCUGCGGUGCAUUAGCUUGUUGGUGGGGUAACGGCCUACCAAGGCGAUGAUGCAUAGCCGAGUUGAGAGACUGAUCGGCCACAAUGGGACUGAGACACGGCCCAUACUCCUACGGGAGGCAGCAGUAGGGAAUCUUCCACAAUGGGCGCAAGCCUGAUGGAGCAACACCGCGUGAGUGAAGAAGGGUUUCGGCUCGUAAAGCUCUGUUGUUAAAGAAGAACACGUAUGAGAGUAACUGUUCAUACGUUGACGGUAUUUAACCAGAAAGUCACGGCUAACUACGUGCCAGCAGCCGCGGUAAUACGUAGGUGGCAAGCGUUAUCCGGAUUUAUUGGGCGUAAAGAGAGUGCAGGCGGUUUUCUAAGUCUGAUGUGAAAGCCUUCGGCUUAACCGGAGAAGUGCAUCGGAAACUGGAUAACUUGAGUGCAGAAGAGGGUAGUGGAACUCCAUGUGUAGCGGUGGAAUGCGUAGAUAUAUGGAAGAACACCAGUGGCGAAGGCGGCUACCUGGUCUGCAACUGACGCUGAGACUCGAAAGCAUGGGUAGCGAACAGGAUUAGAUACCCUGGUAGUCCAUGCCGUAAACGAUGAGUGCUAGGUGUUGGAGGGUUUCCGCCCUUCAGUGCCGGAGCUAACGCAUUAAGCACUCCGCCUGGGGAGUACGACCGCAAGGUUGAAACUCAAAGGAAUUGACGGGGGCCCGCACAAGCGGUGGAGCAUGUGGUUUAAUUCGAAGCUACGCGAAGAACCUUACCAGGUCUUGACAUCUUGCGCCAACCCUAGAGAUAGGGCGUUUCCUUCGGGAACGCAAUGACAGGUGGUGCAUGGUCGUCGUCAGCUCGUGUCGUGAGAUGUUGGGUUAAGUCCCGCAACGAGCGCAACCCUUGUUACUAGUUGCCAGCAUUAAGUUGGGCACUCUAGUGAGACUGCCGGUGACAAACCGGAGGAAGGUGGGGACGACGUCAGAUCAUCAUGCCCCUUAUGACCUGGGCUACACACGUGCUACAAUGGACGGUACAACGAGUCGCGAACUCGCGAGGGCAAGCAAAUCUCUUAAAACCGUUCUCAGUUCGGACUGCAGGCUGCAACUCGCCUGCACGAAGUCGGAAUCGCUAGUAAUCGCGGAUCAGCAUGCCGCGGUGAAUACGUUCCCGGGCCUUGUACACACCGCCCGUCACACCAUGAGAGUUUGUAACACCCAAAGUCGGUGGGGUAACCUUUUAGGAGCCAGCCGCCUAAGGUGGGACAGAUGAUUAGGGUGAAGUCGUAACAAGGUAGCCGUAGGAGAACCUGCGGCUGGAUCACCUCCUUU